AGAGCACAGGGUGGAUGCCUUGGCAUCAGGAGCCGAAGAAGGACGUGAUAAGCUGCGAUAAGCUGCGGUGAGGCGCAAAUAGCCGUUGACCCGCAGAUUUCCGAAUGGGGAAACCCGGCCAGGCAAUACCUGGUCACUGCAUGGUGAAUUCAUAGCCAUGCAGGGGGAACCCGCCGAACUGAAACAUCUAAGUAGGCGGAGGAAGAGAAAGAAACAUCGAUUUCCUAAGUAGCGGCGAGCGAAAGGGAAAGAGGCCAAACCAUGGGUAGCAAUACCCAUGGGGUUGCGGACUGCGGAAGCUAGCGCUGAGGGUAGCCGAACUGCAUGGGAAGGCAGAUCGGAGAGGGUGAGAAUCCCGUAGGCGAAACCUAAGGCGCGGCGGCAGGAUCCAGAGUACCACCGGACACGUGGAACCCGGUGGGAAGCAGGGGGGACCACCCCCCAAGCCUAAAUACUACCUGAUGACCGAUAGCGCAUAGUACUGUGAAGGAAAGGUGAAAAGAACCCCGGGAGGGGAGUGAAAGAGAACCUGAAACCCUGUGUUUACAAGCAGAUAGAGCACGGAUUAAGUGCGAUAUCGUACUUUUUGUAGAACGGUCCGGCGAGUAUAUGUAUGCAGCGAGGUUAAUUGGUUAAGCCAAGGAGCCGAAGGGAAACCGAGUGUGAAUAGCGCGUAUAGUUGCAUGCAUAUGACCCGAAACCGGGUGAUCUACCCAUGGGCAGGCUGAAGCGGGAGUAAAAUCCCGUGGAGGGCCGAACUCACUGCUGUUGAAAAAGUAGGAGAUGACCUGUGGGUAGGGGAGAAAUUCCAAUCGAACCCGGAGAUAGCUGGUUCUCCCCGAAAUAGCUUUAGGGCUAGCCUUGUGUUAGUCUAACGGAGGUAAAGCACUGAAUGGGCUAGGGGCCGAUAAGGUUACCGAACCCUAUCAAACUCAGAAUGCCGUAUAGAUGGUGCACAGGAGUCAGACUAUGUGAGAUAAGUUUCAUAGUCGAGAGGGAAACAGCCCAGACCUACAGCUAAGGUCCCGAAAUAGGUUUAAGUGGAGAAGGAUGUCCGAUUGCGAAGACAACCAGGAUGUUGGCUUAGAAGCAGCCAUACAUUCAAAGAGUGCGUAACAGCUCACUGGUCGAGUGAUUGGGCGCCGAAAAUGUAACGGGGCUAAAACCUAUACCGAAGCUUAGGCAGCGAUAAUGCUGGGUAGGGGAGCGUCGUAUUGUAGGGCGAAGCGGUACCGGAAGGAGCCGUGGACGAGAUACGAGUGAGAAUGCCGGAAUGAGUAGCGAGAAUUAUGUGAGAAUCAUAAUGGUCGAAAGCCUAAGGUUUCUUGAGGAAGGUUCGUCCGCUCAAGGUAAGCCGGGAGCUAAGGCGAGGCCGGAAGGCGUAGUCGAUGCACAUACGGUUGAGAUUCCGUAGCCGCCGAAACUGUUAAGCACAGGGACGCAGGAGGAUAGCCUGACCCCGCCGUUGGUAGAGUGGGGCCUGAAAAGGGGAGCGAAAAAUAAGUAGCGAAGCAGGUGAAUCCACACUGACGAGAAAAGCUGUGUGUAUUGGUUAGGCGCCCGUACCGCAAACCGACACAGGUAGGCGAGGAGAGAAUCCUAAGACCAACGGGAGAAGUGUUGUUAAGGAACUCGGCAAAAUGGCCCCGUAACUUCGGGAUAAGGGGAGCCAUAGAGAUAUGGCCGCAGAGAAUAGUCCCAAGCGACUGUUUAGCAAAAACACAGGUUUCUGCUAAGUCGAAAGACGACGUAUAGGAGCUGACGCCUGCCCGGUGCUGGAAGGUCAAGGGGAACGCUUAGCGCGCGAGCGCGAAGGUGUGAACUUAAGCCCCAGUAAACGGCGGCCGUAACUAUAACGGUCCUAAGGUAGCGAAAUUCCUUGUCGGGUAAGUUCCGACCCGCACGAAUGGUGUAAUGAUCUGGGCACUGUCUCGACUACCCGCCCGGCGAAAUUGUAGUACCGGUGAAGAUGCCGGUUACCCGCGACAAGACGGAAAGACCCCAUGGAGCUUUACUGUAGCUUGAUAUUGGGUUCUGGUAUUCUAUGUACAGGAUAGGCGGGAGGCUGGGAAGCAGUGGCGCCAGCUGCUGUGGAGCCGCCCUUGGGAUACCGCUCUUAGAGUGCUGGAAUUCUAACCUGCGGCCAUGAAACUGGUCGGGGGACAUUGUCAGGUGGGCAGUUUGACUGGGGCGGUCGCCUCCCAAAAGGUAA
RNAcentral lists this ribosomal RNA (2212 nucleotides) under biogas fermenter metagenome. RNAcentral describes it as "bacterial LSU rRNA". It matches the Rfam family "Bacterial large subunit ribosomal RNA", at positions 14 to 2300 of the family's 2925-position model. The record is from RNAcentral.